Molecule: ribosomal RNA, 1717 nt
Filed under: Salmonella enterica
Lineage: Bacteria; Pseudomonadati; Pseudomonadota; Gammaproteobacteria; Enterobacterales; Enterobacteriaceae
Description: partial 23S ribosomal RNA
Rfam family: Bacterial large subunit ribosomal RNA
Source: RNAcentral
GGCUUAGAAGCAGCCAUCAUUUAAAGAAAGCGUAAUAGCUCACUGGUCGAGUCGGCCUGCGCGGAAGAUGUAACGGGGCUAAACCAUGCACCGAAGCUGCGGCAGCGACACUGUGUGUUGUUGGGUAGGGGAGCGUUCUGUAAGCCUGUGAAGGUGGCCUGUGAGGGUUGCUGGAGGUAUCAGAAGUGCGAAUGCUGACAUAAGUAACGAUAAAGCGGGUGAAAAGCCCGCUCGCCGGAAGACCAAGGGUUCCUGUCCAACGUUAAUCGGGGCAGGGUGAGUCGACCCCUAAGGCGAGGCCGAAAGGCGUAGUCGAUGGGAAACGGGUUAAUAUUCCCGUACUUGGUGUUACUGCGAAGGGGGGACGGAGAAGGCUAUGUUGGCCGGGCGACGGUUGUCCCGGUUUAAGCGUGUAGGUGUGUGUUCCAGGUAAAUCCGGUUCACUUUAACACUGAGGCGUGACGACGAGGCACUACGGUGCUGAAGCAACAAAUGCCCUGCUUCCAGGAAAAGCCUCUAAGCAUCAGGUAACAUCAAAUCGUACCCCAAACCGACACAGGUGGUCAGGUAGAGAAUACCAAGGCGCUUGAGAGAACUCGGGUGAAGGAACUAGGCAAAAUGGUGCCGUAACUUCGGGAGAAGGCACGCUGACACGUAGGUGAAGUGAUUUACUCACGGAGCUGAAGUCAGUCGAAGAUACCAGCUGGCUGCAACUGUUUAUUAAAAACACAGCACUGUGCAAACACGAAAGUGGACGUAUACGGUGUGACGCCUGCCCGGUGCCGGAAGGUUAAUUGAUGGGGUCAGCGCAAGCGAAGCUCCUGAUCGAAGCCCCGGUAAACGGCGGCCGUAACUAUAACGGUCCUAAGGUAGCGAAAUUCCUUGUCGGGUAAGUUCCGACCUGCACGAAUGGCGUAAUGAUGGCCAGGCUGUCUCCACCCGAGACUCAGUGAAAUUGAACUCGCUGUGAAGAUGCAGUGUACCCGCGGCAAGACGGAAAGACCCCGUGAACCUUUACUAUAGCUUGACACUGAACAUUGAGCCUUGAUGUGUAGGAUAGGUGGGAGGCUUUGAAGCGUGGACGCCAGUCUGCGUGGAGCCGACCUUGAAAUACCACCCUUUAAUGUUUGAUGUUCUAACGUGGACCCGUGAUCCGGGUUGCGGACAGUGUCUGGUGGGUAGUUUGACUGGGGCGGUCUCCUCCUAAAGAGUAACGGAGGAGCACGAAGGUUGGCUAAUCCUGGUCGGACAUCAGGAGGUUAGUGCAAUGGCAUAAGCCAGCUUGACUGCGAGCGUGACGGCGCGAGCAGGUGCGAAAGCAGGUCAUAGUGAUCCGGUGGUUCUGAAUGGAAGGGCCAUCGCUCAACGGAUAAAAGGUACUCCGGGGAUAACAGGCUGAUACCGCCCAAGAGUUCAUAUCGACGGCGGUGUUUGGCACCUCGAUGUCGGCUCAUCACAUCCUGGGGCUGAAGUAGGUCCCAAGGGUAUGGCUGUUCGCCAUUUAAAGUGGUACGCGAGCUGGGUUUAGAACGUCGUGAGACAGUUCGGUCCCUAUCUGCCGUGGGCGCUGGAGAACUGAGGGGGGCUGCUCCUAGUACGAGAGGACCGGAGUGGACGCAUCACUGGUGUUCGGGUUGUCAUGCCAAUGGCACUGCCCGGUAGCUAAAUGCGGAAGAGAUAAGUGCUGAAAGCAUCUAAGCACGAAACUUGCCCCGAG